AGCUAAUACUUGCUUUAGCACUCUUGAUUUAUUUCUUGAGUGUGUACUUGUUAAGCCUUAUAAGAAAAGAGUUAUUAACUUAAGGAAUUAUAACAAAGAAGUAACACGUAAUGGAUUAUUCCAUUUUUUAGUGUGUAUCAAUCGAGUUUCUGACCUAUCAGCUUUUGAUGUUAGGGUAUUGGCCUAACAUGGCUAUGACGGGUAACGGGGAAUUAGAGUUCGAUUCCGGAGAGGGAGCCUGAGAAAUAGCUACCACAUCUAAGGAAGGCAGCAGGCGCGUAAAUUACCCAAUUCUAAAGAAGAGAGGUAGUGACAAGAAAUAACAAUACAAGGCCAAUCUGGCUUUGUAAUUGGAAUGAUGGGAAUUUAAAACCUUCCCAAAAUUCAAUUGGAGGGCAAGUCUGGUGCCAGCAGCCGCGGUAAUUCCAGCUCCAAUAGCGUAUAUUAAAAUUGUUGCAGUUAAAACGCUCGUAGUUGAAUUUCAAAGAAUCGAUAUUUUAAGUAACGCUUCUAGCUACAAAUCCACAUAACUGAUGCCUCCGCGUAUCGACUUUGUGCGCAUUUUAGCUAUUAUGUGUUCUUUUAAUUAAAAUGAUUCUUUUUAAGAUUCAUCUAUUAAAAAUUUGCCUCGGCAUAAUUUUUUUUGAUGAUCUUGUUACUUUGAGUAAAUUAGAGUGUUCAAAGCAAACAGAUAUAGCAUUUGUGCGUUUGAAUACUACAGCAUGGAAUAACAAAAUUGAACAAGUCAGAAUUUUUUUGUUCUUUUUUCUUAUUUUGGCUUAGUUACGAUUAAUAGGAGUAGCUUGGGGGCAUUUGUAUUCAGAUGUCAGAGGUGAAAUUCUUAGAUUUUCUGGAGACAAACAACUGCGAAAGCAUUUGCCUAAAAUACUUCCAUUAAUCAAGAACGAAAGUUAAGGGAGUGAAGACGAUCAGACACCGUCGUAAUCUUAACCAUAAACUAUGCCGACUAGGCUUUGGAUGAAAGAUUUUAAAAUAAGAGUUUU
This 1004-nucleotide ribosomal RNA is filed under the name Plasmodium knowlesi. Its description in RNAcentral is "SSU rRNA". It matches the Rfam family "Eukaryotic small subunit ribosomal RNA", at positions 162 to 1078 of the family's 1831-position model. Lineage: Eukaryota; Apicomplexa; Aconoidasida; Haemosporida; Plasmodiidae. The record is from RNAcentral.